AUACAGAGGGUGCGAGCGUUAAUCGGAAUUACUGGGCGUAAAGCGCGCGUAGGCGGCUUGGUCAGUCGGAUGUGAAAGCCCUGGGCUUAACCUGGGAAUUGCAUUCGAUACUGCCAGGCUAGAGUAUGGUAGAGGGAAGUGGAAUUUCCGGUGUAGCGGUGAAAUGCGUAGAUAUCGGAAGGAACACCAGUGGCGAAGGCGACUUCCUGGGCCAAUACUGACGCUGAGGUGCGAAAGCGUGGGGAGCAAACAGGAUUAGAUACCCCGGUAGUCC
Molecule: ribosomal RNA, 274 nt
Filed under: uncultured bacterium
Lineage: Bacteria
Description: partial 16S ribosomal RNA
Rfam family: Bacterial small subunit ribosomal RNA
Source: RNAcentral